RNAcentral lists this ribosomal RNA (253 nucleotides) under uncultured bacterium. RNAcentral's name for it is "partial 16S ribosomal RNA". It matches the Rfam family "Bacterial small subunit ribosomal RNA", at positions 524 to 776 of the family's 1533-position model. The record is from RNAcentral.
GACAGAGGUUGCAAACGUUGUUCGGAAUUACUGGGCAUAAAGCGCACGUAGGCGGUCCACUAAGUCAGGUGUGAAAUCCCCCGGCUCAACCGGGGAAUUGCGCCUGAUACUGGUGGGCUCGAGGUCGAUAGGGGUGAGCGGAACUCCAGGUGGAGCGGUGAAAUGCGUAGAUAUCUGGAGGAACACCGGUGGCGAAAGCGGCUCACUGGAUCGAAACUGACGCUGAGGUGCGAAAGCUAGGGUAGCAAACGGG